AGAGCGAACGCUGGCGGCAGGCUUAACACAUGCAAGUCGAGCGGGCGUAGCAAUAUGUCAGCGGCAGACGGGUGAGUAACGCGUGGGAACGUACCUUUUGGUUCGGAACAACACAGGGAAACUUGUGCUAAUACCGGAUAAGCCCUUACGGGGAAAGAUUUAUCGCCGAAAGAUCGGCCCGCGUCUGAUUAGCUAGUUGGUGAGGUAACGGCUCACCAAGGCGACGAUCAGUAGCUGGUCUGAGAGGAUGAUCAGCCACAUUGGGACUGAGACACGGCCCAAACUCCUACGGGAGGCAGCAGUGGGGAAUAUUGGACAAUGGGCGCAAGCCUGAUCCAAGCCAUGCCGCGUGAGUGAUGAAGGCCCUAGGGUUGUAAAGCUCUUUUGUGCGGGAAGAUAAUGACGGUACCGCAAGAAUAAGCCCCGGCUAACUUCGUGCCAGCAGCGGC
This 449-nucleotide ribosomal RNA is filed under the name uncultured bacterium. Its description in RNAcentral is "bacterial SSU rRNA". It matches the Rfam family "Bacterial small subunit ribosomal RNA", at positions 26 to 518 of the family's 1533-position model. The record is from RNAcentral.